GUUGUUGAUGUGUGCAGAGGGUCCCUGGUUCGCGCCCGGGUAUGGGUGAGGGAAGGGGACGGUCUAAAGUUAUACUGUUACACAUCCACAUGUGCAGUAGCUUCAGGACAUUUAGCUGUCAGGAAGAGGGGUCCGGAACAGUCGGAUCUGUAGCCUCUCCGUUGUUUAUAUAUUAGUGGUUUGAGAGAGAGGCCAUAAAAUGUUUUCAGACACAUUUGGAAGGCAUGUCUUGAUACAUAAUGGCAUCUUAAAGAUGUAUUUUUUUUUAAAGUAUCUAUGUCUUGAAGCGUCUCAAGAUUUCUCAACUUGUGAUGGCUGGGUACGUAGGUUUAUAAACGAUCAGAAACAUAUUUUCGCAGUCUUCACUUUGGGCUUCCAUAGUCCGUUUGUGAUGGCUGGGUACGUAGGUUUAUAAGCGAUCAGAAACAUAUUUUCUCAGUCUUCACUUUGGGCUUCCAUAGUCCGUUUGUGAUGGCUGGGUACGUAGGUUUAUAAACGAUCAGAAACAUAUUUUCUCAGUCUUCACUUUGGGCUUCCAUAGUCCGUUUGUGAUGGCUGGGUACGUAGGUUUAUAAACGAUCAGAAACAUAUUUUCGCAGUCUUCACUUUGGGCUUCCAUAGUCCGAUUGUGACAGGUGGCAAUAAAGGGCCCAACUACGGUGGGAUGAACGUAUCUUCUGUCGUUGGCUUUUAUCCUUUUAUGGAAAUAGGGAGAACGUGCAUUUUUUUAUGGCUUAUGAAAAGUUUUACAGACCCCUCAGAGCUUUUUACAGUAAUGUUUUCCUCAUUGAAAUAAGAACCCUGUUUAUACCUGGUGCUAUCAUGCGUUUCCUUUGUCCUGAACUUGUCCACAUUCUGAUUUGUGUCCACAUUUACACAGACGAGUAAACUAACUGAUUAGCAGCAACAUUUCCUGAGGCAGUUUGGGACGAAUUGAUUGGCUGGAUCCAAGCUUACUGACAGGCCAGUGGGCAGGGUUUACAGGUGAGCGUCAAAUAAGAAAAGGAGUGUCUGCGGAGCUGACUUUUACGGGAUCUUUAGUCCACCGGAUCCUGAUGCUUUACACUAUAUAUUCUCUGUUCUCUAUUACACAGGUGGCAAACGGGAGGGGCAACUGUCUGCGUGUUAUCACUCCUGCCUUGUACUUAAUUAAUAAAUAAAGGUCACUGAUUAGUAAGGAACUCCCUUCACCUGGUUGUCUAGGUCACUGAUUAGUAAGGAACUCCCUUCACCUGGUUGUCUAGGUCACUGAUUAUUAAGGAACUCCCAUCACCUGGUUGUCUAGGGCUUAAUUGAAUAGAAAAGGAAAAAAAAACAGCAGACACUAGAACCUCUAUGGAAUGAGUUGGACACCGCUGGUCUACUAUGUGUAAAGAACAAGCCACUGGGGGUUCUCCUUUAAUGAAGUUAGGUCACAGCUGAAUGGUGCUCCUUUUAAUGAAGUUUUUUAAUUUUAAAAAUUUAAUUUCACCUUUAUUUAACCAGGUAGGCCAGUUGAGAACAUGUUCUCAUUUUUUAACUGCGACCUGGCCAAGAUAAAGCAAAGCAGUUCAACACAAACAACACAGAGCUACACAUGGAGUAAAACAAAGAGUCAAUAAUACAGUAGAAAAAUAAGUCUAUAUACAAUGUGAGCAAAUGAGGUGAGAUAAGGGAGGUAAAGGCAACAAAAGGCCAUGGUGGCGAAGUAAAUACAAUAUAGCAAUUAAAACACUAGAAUGGUAGAUUUGACAGUAGAUGAGUGUGCAAAGUAGAAAUACUGGGGUGCAAAGGAACAUAAUAAAUAAAUACAGUAGGGGAAGAGGUAGUUGUUUGGGCUAUUUAUAGAUGGGAGCUGCUUUGACAGCUGGUGCUUAAAGCUAGUGAGGGAGAUAAGUGUUUCCAGUUUCAGAGAUUUUUGUAGUUCGUUCCAGUCAUUGGCAGCAGAGAAUUGGAAGGAGAGGCGGCCAAAGGAGGAAUUGGCUUUGGGGGUGACAAGUGAGAUGCCUGCUGGAACGCGUGCUACGUGUGGGUGCAGCUAUGGUGACCAGCGAGCAGAGGUAAGGCGGGACUUUACCUAGCAGGGUCUUGUAGAUGACCUGGAGCCAGUGGGUUUGGCGACGAGUGUGAGGCGAGGGCCAGCCAAUGAGAGCGUACAGGUCGCAGUGGUGGGUAGUAUAUGGGGCUUUGGUGACAAAAUGGAUGGCACUGUGAUAGACUGUAUCCAAUUUGUUGAGUAGGGUGUUGGAGGCUAUUUUGUAAAUGACAUCGCCGAAGUCGAGGGUCGGUAAGAUGGUCAGUUUUACCAGGGUAUGUAUAGCCCGGCUGAUUUGUGAGGGUCAUGAUUUUGCAGCUC
Long non-coding RNA from Oncorhynchus tshawytscha (Chinook salmon), 2335 nucleotides. Lineage: Eukaryota; Metazoa; Chordata; Actinopteri; Salmoniformes; Salmonidae. The record is from Ensembl.